GACGAACGCUGGCGGCGUGCUUAACACAUGCAAGUCGAACGGAAAGGCCCUGCUGUUGUGGGGUGCUCGAGUGGCGAACGGGUGAGUAACACGUGAGUAACCUGCCCUUGACUUUGGGAUAACUUCAGGAAACUGGGGCUAAUACCGGAUAGGAGCUCCUGCUGCAUGGUGGGGGUUGGAAAGUUUCGGCGGUUGGGGAUGGACUCGCGGCUUAUCAGCUUGUUGGUGGGGUAGUGGCUUACCAAGGCUUUGACGGGUAGCCGGCCUGAGAGGGUGACCGGCCACAUUGGGACUGAGAUACGGCCAAGACUCAUACGGGAGGCAGCAGUGGGGAAUAUUGCACAAUGGGCGGAAGCCUUAUGCAGCAACGCCGCGUGCGGGAUGACGGCCUUCGGGUUGUAAACCGCUUUCGCCUGUGACGAAGCGUGAGUGACGGUAAUGGGUAAAGAAGCACCGGCUAACUACGUG
Molecule: ribosomal RNA, 468 nt
Filed under: uncultured bacterium
Lineage: Bacteria
Description: partial 16S ribosomal RNA
Rfam family: Bacterial small subunit ribosomal RNA
Source: RNAcentral